CGGCAGCAGCUGAAGGUGAAAGAGCUGUGUGGAUGCCUUUAAAGGUAUUUUCUCAGCCUGUAUGCGAGUUUGGGACAUAAUAUCCCCAAAGAAGACGCAGAGCAGGAGGAAGAAGACGAGGAGAUGGCAGCUUCUCAGGGACAGUUGACAUUCCGGGAUGUGGCCAUAGACUUCACUCAAGAGGAGUGGGAAUGCCUGGGCCUCGGUCAGCGGGCAUUUACACAGACGUGAUGUUAGGGAACUACGGGAACCUGGCCUCCUUGGGACUUGUAGUCUCUGGGCUGAAUCUGGUCACCCUUCUGGAGCAACUGAACAAUCCCAGGAGUAUAAGGAGAGUGGAGACAGCAGCC
Cervus elaphus (red deer) is the source of this 350-nucleotide long non-coding RNA. RefSeq lists it as uncharacterized. The record is from RefSeq and is a predicted model, not a curated record. NCBI's taxonomy places the organism in Eukaryota, Metazoa, Chordata, Mammalia, Artiodactyla, Cervidae. The transcript has 3 exons.